Molecule: small nucleolar RNA, 133 nt
Organism: Eptesicus fuscus (big brown bat)
Lineage: Eukaryota; Metazoa; Chordata; Mammalia; Chiroptera; Vespertilionidae
Product: small nucleolar RNA SNORA42/SNORA80 family
Exons: 1
Source: RefSeq, a predicted model, not a curated record
ACAUGGGUUUGGACUGAUAGCAACCCCGUCUCCCUGUGUCUCUCAUGGUGCCCAUGCCAGAGCAGACUGUGGCCUCGAACCAUUGCCUGGCCUCUGCCUGUAGGCUACAGGCACUGAAGCAGAUUGCACAGUG